UGCAGGUCUGCCCACAA
RNAcentral lists this unclassified non-coding RNA (17 nucleotides) under Mus musculus (house mouse). Its description in RNAcentral is "oocyte_clustered_small_RNA12102". Lineage: Eukaryota; Metazoa; Chordata; Mammalia; Rodentia; Muridae. The record is from RNAcentral.